AUCUUCUCAAAAGAGAUAUACAGGCACAGAGAGAAAAGGGAGAAAGACAGAGGCGGAAGACGAUAGAGAGAGCCGGAGCCGGCGAAUCUCUGGCAACCGACCCCACGCGUGCUCGCCUCACACCCACAGAGACGAAGUCGUCGAGUCUAGGGUUUCCCGGCUAGGGUUCCGAUCAAGUUCUCGCCAUUUCCGGUUACCUCCGGUGAGGUUCCGGUGAAGAUUUCGGUACCGCUCAGAUUGGGUUAGUCUGUGUUGUUCGCUAUCACACUUCACCAUCAGACUCGGUCUUAUCCGGUCAUCAGGCGAAGCGGGUUUUGGUGAUCAUAUAGGUAUGGCUCUGGAGUAGGGUUUGUUGGUGAAAAAGGCAGUCGACUGAUGCAGUGUUGUUGUUCAGGUCAAGAUUGAACUGUGUGUAUAUGUUUGCUCUACGUACAGGUAUUGUAUAUAACACACGUACAGUGGGGUUAUGGAUUUCGUGAAAGCCACACUUGAGAGUGACACAAGAGUAUGUUUUAUGUUAUCUUCCUUUCAACUCAUUAUUAAUUAUACGGUAUAACAUCGGUCUAUUAGUAUUAUUUUUUUCUUAGGUGCUCGCUUCCGAAGCUAGAAGAAAACAUAAAACCAGGGGCAACACAACUUCUGCAGGUCUAUUUGGAAGUCAGGCUGCCAAAACAAUUAGAACUAUAGAUACAACGAUUAACUGCUAUUUUGCAAAUUUCCCUUUACAUAAAGAACUAUCUACAGGUCCAACAAGAACAGAGUUUUCUCAUCGACUAGAAAAGGUGGGAGUGACCUUGAGCCAGUGGCAGAGGAGUUGCCAGCCAAUCAUGAAUUGGCUCAACUUUCUGAACAGGAAUCGUCAUCUGAAUAAUGUUUUAAUUGUCCGAAUCCAAUAAGAAGAGAAUUUUCUUAUUGACUAGAAAAACUGGGGAUAGACUUGGACCAAUAGCGGCAGAGUUCACUGGUCCCAGUUUCAAGUUGACUCGACUUUCUGAAAAUGAAUUGCCAGCUGAAUAUGGGUCAAAUGGGUAAAAGUUAUUUCUAGCAGACUGGUAUGUUUAAUUCAGCAUCGAGAUGUCCGCGUUUGAGGUUUGAUCAGAGUCGACUUGAUAGAAACGCACUGGAGGAUGGGGUUACACCAACACUGAACAAAUUCACAAGUCUUGGCGAGUUGUGGCAUUAUGGAAUUUGGAUCACUUAAAAGGAGGCUACCAAAAACCUUAUUCAAUCUAUUUGGAAUUCAACAAGUGUAAGAACAACAAAAACCAAUGGAAGGUAUACAGGUGAAGGUAUUAGUGACACGAAGAAAACUAGGUGUCCGGACGCAUGAAGCAAAUGGAAAUGAAAAAAAAAAACUUUUGUGAUCUAUAUAUAAGCGGAAGACUGUAUAUAUUAAAACCUAUGUAUUUGUCUUAAACGCCCCGUUGAAACAUAUCAACAUCCAUUUGUAUCAACUUCAUUAGUGUAAAAAGAUCAACUUUAUUAGUGCAAGUAAAUUUUAAACCGAGAA
Helianthus annuus (common sunflower) is the source of this 1510-nucleotide long non-coding RNA. RefSeq lists it as uncharacterized. Lineage: Eukaryota; Viridiplantae; Streptophyta; Magnoliopsida; Asterales; Asteraceae. The record is from RefSeq and is a predicted model, not a curated record. The transcript has 9 exons.